This 65-nucleotide transfer RNA is filed under the name Octopus mimus. RNAcentral's name for it is "tRNA-Cys". The record is from RNAcentral. Lineage: Eukaryota; Metazoa; Mollusca; Cephalopoda; Octopoda; Octopodidae.
GGUUUUAUAUUUUAUUUAAAAUAUUAAAUUGCAAAUUUAAAGAUACAUGAUUAGUGUUAAAACUU